RNAcentral lists this ribosomal RNA (302 nucleotides) under Niphargus delamarei. Its description in RNAcentral is "partial 12S ribosomal RNA". The record is from RNAcentral. Lineage: Eukaryota; Metazoa; Arthropoda; Malacostraca; Amphipoda; Niphargidae.
UUGUUUGAUUUCUAAGGAUUAGAUUUAAAAUUAGGUUAUUUGGCGGCUGUUUUAUUUAAAGGGAUUUGCUUAUCGAUACAUCUCGGUGAUAGUAUUUAAUUUAUUAUGUAUACCGUCAUUUAGAUAAUUUUAGGAGAAUUAAUUAUGUUAAUAAUAUCAGAUAUUUUAGAUCAAGGUGCAGAAAUAGUUAAGGAUUAGUUAAUGCCAAUAAAUAUUAUUAGCCAGGAUUUUUUUAAUUUUAUUGAAUAGGUGGAUUUAAUUGUAAUUAAAAAUUGUUGAAGAGGGAAGUAUAGUUACAAAUG